RNAcentral lists this ribosomal RNA (1228 nucleotides) under uncultured fungus. RNAcentral's name for it is "eukaryotic LSU rRNA". The stretch from base 571 to 1228 matches the Rfam family "Eukaryotic large subunit ribosomal RNA", at positions 1 to 636 of the family's 3401-position model. The record is from RNAcentral. Lineage: Eukaryota; Fungi.
CAUUAAUGAAACUUCAAAGUCGGCUCUGUUCUGUGCUGGUGGCAACACAUGUGCACGUUCGGGUCGCAAUUCCACACACCUGUGCACUUUUAUGACUCUGAGUGCUGCUUUGNGUGGUCAACCGAAAGGAAGACCUGGUGCUUGAGUAACUUUACACACACUAUUGAAUGUAAUGGAAUGUCUUUUGUGCAUAAUGUCCAACUAAAACAACUUUCAACAACGGAUCUCUUGGCUCUCGCAUCGAUGAAGAACGCAGCGAAAUGCGAUAAGUAAUGUGAAUUGCAGAAUUCAGUGAAUCAUUGAAUCUUUGAACGCACCUUGCACCCUUUGGUAUUCCGAAGGGUACGCCUGUUUGAGUGUCAUUGUAAUCUCACUACAACAACUUUAUUUGUUGAUGUAUGUGGACUUGGAUGUUGCUGUGUUACAGCGGCUCAUCUGAAAUGCCUCAGUGUACCCUGCUUUNNNNUGUAUUCGGUGUGAUACAUCUUCACCGNAGUCGAUCUUUGNAUCAUGNUUGCCUAACAUGNNUCUAUGCUUCCAACCGUCUUUAACGACAAAUCUUUGACAAUUNGACCUCAAAUCGGGUGGGACUACCCGCUGAACUUAAGCAUAUCAAUAAGCAGAGGAAAAGAAACUAACAAGGAUUCCCCUAGUAACGGCGAGUGAAGAGGGAAAAGCUCAAAUUUUGAAUCUGGUGUCUUUGGCGCCCGAGUUGUAAUCUAGAGAAGUGUUUUCCGCGUUGGNCCGUGCACAANUCCCCUGGAAUGGGGCGUCAUAGAGGGUGAGAAUCCCGUAUAUGGCAUGGACUACCAGUGCUCUGUGAUACACUCUCAACGAGUCGAGUCGUUUGGGAAUGCAGCUCAAAAUGGGUGGUAAAUUCCAUCUAAAGCUAAAUAUUGGCGAGAGACCGAUAGCGAACAAGUACCAUGAGGGAAAGAUGAAAAGCACUUUGGAAAGAGAGUGAAACAGUACAUGAAAUUGUUGAAAGGGAAGCGUUUGAAGUCAGUCAUAUCUGUCGGGAUUCAGCCUGGCUUUUGCCUGGUGUAUUUUCCGUCCGAUGGGUCAGCAUCACUUUCGACCGAGGGAAAAAGAUGUGGGGAAUGUGGCUGUCUUUGGGCAGUGUUAUANCCUUGCGUUGUAUGUCUCGGUUGGGAUUGAGGUACNCAGCGCACCAUAAAUGGCCGGGGGUUAACUCCUUUCGAAUCGCACUUAGGAUGCUGGCAUAAUG